Molecule: non-coding RNA, 659 nt
Filed under: Pan troglodytes (chimpanzee)
Lineage: Eukaryota; Metazoa; Chordata; Mammalia; Primates; Hominidae
Source: RNAcentral
AGUCGCCUCAGCCGCGGUAUGAGGGAGCGGGAGUCUUCCUUAGCUUCUCCGCCAUGGGUGUCGCUUCGUAGCCGGGCUGCUCCGGGAAAGGCCUCGUACAGCACGCAUUCACCAGAAUCCUGUCAGCUUUCCUCUUCUCAUCCAGAUGCCUGGCCAGGAUCCUCGAUAAGACCGUGACCCCCAACUUGGACACCCCAUAAGGUUCCCAGAUGAUGUGACAGCUACUGGUUUCCAGCCACACCUUGAGAACACUUGGCUUUGACUACCACUUCUUAAACUUAAAGGGUCUUCUCUGUCACCCAGGCUGGAGUGCAGUGCUGCAGUCGUGGCUCACUGUAGCGUCAAUCUCCUGAGCUCAGGAAAACUAGACAAUCCACCAGCCCAGGAGGGGACAAGCAGGAUUAAUCCUCCUCCUCGUCAUCUCUGGCUCCAGCCCCACCCUGGCCCUUGCUGGCAUUCUUCCUCUUCACGUGGCUGGGUUUGGCCACCCCAAUAGGGAAGCAGAGGGAGAAGUCGAUGUGCUUCUGGGAAUCCAGGCGGAUAGUGAAGAACAGGAUAUUUACCACCUGCUCACGGACACGGAUAUGACACUGUUGGAUCAGCACAUGAGCGUGGCAGAUGGACUUAGCCAAGCCAAGCUUGAAGACCUGGGUCUGUAG